RNAcentral lists this transfer RNA (35 nucleotides) under Patagioenas leucocephala (white-crowned pigeon). RNAcentral describes it as "partial tRNA-Phe". Lineage: Eukaryota; Metazoa; Chordata; Aves; Columbiformes; Columbidae. The record is from RNAcentral.
GAUGCCAAGACGGCCCAACAUUCACCCCAGGGACA